GCUGAUAUAGCUUAGAUGGUAGAGCACAUCCUUGGUAUGGAUGAGGUCCCCAGUUCAAUUCUGGGUAUCAGCA
This 73-nucleotide transfer RNA is filed under the name Enterobacteriaceae endosymbiont of Donacia marginata. RNAcentral's name for it is "tRNA-Thr". It matches the Rfam family "tRNA". Rfam says of the family: Transfer RNA (tRNA) molecules are approximately 80 nucleotides in length. Their secondary structure includes four short double-helical elements and three loops (D, anti-codon, and T loops). Further hydrogen bonds mediate the characteristic L-shaped molecular structure. tRNAs have two regions of fundamental functional importance: the anti-codon, which is responsible for specific mRNA codon recognition, and the 3' end, to which the tRNAs corresponding amino acid is attached (by aminoacyl-tRNA synthetases). tRNAs cope with the degeneracy of the genetic code in two manners: having more than one tRNA (with a specific anti-codon) for a particular amino acid; and 'wobble' base-pairing, i.e. permitting non-standard base-pairing at the 3rd anti-codon position. Lineage: Bacteria; Pseudomonadati; Pseudomonadota; Gammaproteobacteria; Enterobacterales; Enterobacteriaceae. The record is from RNAcentral.